GGCCUCUAUAUUCUGGAAUUUCUGUUUGUCAGCAACUAUGAGCAAGUAACUACCGUCCAAAGGAUUAGCUGGGAAGAGCAGGAUCCCGCAACUGAUAUAACCGCCUAUCAAGACAGAGAAAAUGAUGUCUGGAGGCAACAGUUGAAACCAUUCUGAUUUUCCAAAAGUGGCUUGCACCAGGUUCUACAGUGCCUCAGCUCGCACUAACUACAUAUGAUUUGUUUAGAAUAUAGUUUCCUUUAGUUUCCUAGUGCUAUAACGAAAGACAUAUGUUUGGCUUGUUCGACCAAUUCUUCCGUUGAUUUGCUUUCUUUUGUCUGGUUUUUGGCAUUCUUUU
This 337-nucleotide unclassified non-coding RNA is filed under the name Hevea brasiliensis (rubber tree). The record is from RNAcentral. Lineage: Eukaryota; Viridiplantae; Streptophyta; Magnoliopsida; Malpighiales; Euphorbiaceae.